RNAcentral lists this ribosomal RNA (253 nucleotides) under uncultured bacterium. RNAcentral describes it as "partial 16S ribosomal RNA". It matches the Rfam family "Bacterial small subunit ribosomal RNA", at positions 524 to 776 of the family's 1533-position model. The record is from RNAcentral.
UACGAAGGGUGCAAACGUUGCUCGGAAUCAUUGGGCGUAAAGCGCACGUAGGCGGCUCCAAAAGUCGGAUGUGAAAUCCCUGGGCUCAACCGAGGAAGUGCAUCUGAAACUGCGGAGCUUGAGUAUGGAAGAGGGUCGCGGAAUUCCCGGUGUAGAGGUGAAAUUCGUAGAUAUCGGGAGGAACACCAGUGGCGAAGGCGGCGACCUGGGCCAAUACUGACGCUGAGGUGCGAAAGCGUGGGGAGCAAACAGG